This 1027-nucleotide ribosomal RNA is filed under the name Heyndrickxia coagulans. RNAcentral's name for it is "bacterial SSU rRNA". It matches the Rfam family "Bacterial small subunit ribosomal RNA", at positions 37 to 1042 of the family's 1533-position model. The record is from RNAcentral. Lineage: Bacteria; Bacillati; Bacillota; Bacilli; Caryophanales; Bacillaceae.
GGGGGGGGGGCCUAAUAAUGCAGUCGUGCGGACCUUUUAAAGCUUGCUUUUAAAAGGUUAGCGGCGGACGGGUGAGUAACACGUGGGCAACCUGCCUGUAAGACUGGGAUAACGCCGGGAAACCGGGGCUAAUACCAGAUAGUUUUUUCCUCCGCAUGGAGGAAAAAGGAAAGGCGGCUUCGGCUGCCACUUACAGAUGGGCCCGCGGCGCAUUAGCUAGUUGGCGGGGUAACGGCCCACCAAGGCAACGAUGCGUAGCCGACCUGAGAGGGUGAUCGGCCACAUUGGGACUGAGACACGGCCCAAACUCCUACGGGAGGCAGCAGUAGGGAAUCUUCCGCAAUGGACGAAAGUCUGACGGAGCAACGCCCCGUGAGUGAAAAAGGCCUUCGGGUCGUAAAACUCUGUUGCCGGGGAAAAACAAGUGCCGUUCGAACAGGGCGGCGCCUUGACGGUACCCGGCCAGAAAGCCACGGCUAACUACGUGCCACCAGCCGCGGUAAUACGUAGGUGGCAAGCGUUGUCCGGAAUUAUUGGGCGUAAAGCGCGCGCAGGCGGCUUCUUAAGUCUGAUGUGAAAUCUUGCGGCUCAACCGCAAGCGGUCAUUGGAAACUGGGAGGCUUGAGUGCAGAAAAGGAGAGUGGAAUUCCACGUGUAGCGGUGAAAUGCGUAGAGAUGUGGAGGAACACCAGUGGCGAAGGCGGCUCUCUGGUCUGUAACUGACGCUGAGGCGCGAAAGCGUGGGGAGCAAACAGGAUUAGAUACCCUGGUAGUCCACGCCGUAAACGAUGAGUGCUAAGUGUUAGAGGGUUUCCGCCCUUUAGUGCUGCAGCUAACGCAUUAAGCACUCCGCCUGGGGGAGUACGGCCGCAAGGCUGAAACUCAAAGGAAUUGACGGGGGCCCGCACAACGGUGGAGCAUGUGGUUUAUUUCUAAGCAACGCGAAGAACCUUACCACGUCUUGACAUCCUCUGACCUCCCUGGAGACAGGGCCUUCCCCCCUUCUGGGGACAAAUGACAACGUGUU